Triticum aestivum (bread wheat) is the source of this 124-nucleotide non-coding RNA. The record is from Rfam. NCBI's taxonomy places the organism in Eukaryota, Viridiplantae, Streptophyta, Magnoliopsida, Poales, Poaceae.
CAACUACUCCCUUUGUCCCAAAUUUCUUGUCUUAGAUUUGUCUAGAUACGGAUGUAUCUGUGAUUUGAUACAUCCGUAUUUAGACAAAUCUAAGACAAGAAUUUUGGGACAAAGGGAGUACUUU